GUUGCAAGUAGGAAGUUAUCCGAAGGAUCUCGUAACCUGUUCGUACCCUAAUGGAUCCAGUGAAUACUAGUGGGUCAGAGUACUUGGCCAGUAAUGCUGCUGGAUCCCUAGACACUGCGGCACCCCUUUUGUUUGCUGCACUGAACUGGUAUCUUGGAAAUAAAAAUGAGAAAAUAGGAGCAAGUACUGUGAAAAUCGGAUGAGCUGGUUGAAC
This 214-nucleotide unclassified non-coding RNA is filed under the name Hevea brasiliensis (rubber tree). The record is from RNAcentral. Lineage: Eukaryota; Viridiplantae; Streptophyta; Magnoliopsida; Malpighiales; Euphorbiaceae.